UACGGAAGGGAGCAGUGGGGAAUAUUGCACAAUGGGCGCAAGCCUGAUGCAGCCAUGCCGCGUGUAUGAAGAAGGCCUUCGGGUUGUAAAGUACUUUCAGUCGUGAGGAAGGUGUUAAGGUUAAUAACCUUAGCAAUUGACGUUAGCGACAGAAGAAGCACCGGCUAACUCCGUGCCAGCAGCCGCGGUAAUACGGAGGGUGCGAGCGUUAAUCGGAAUUACUGGGCGUAAAGGGCACGCAGGCGGUUAAUUAAGUUGGAUGUGAAAUCCCCGGGCUUAACCUGGGAAUGGCAUUCAAGACUGGUUAGCUAGAGUCUUGUAGAGGGGGUAGAAUUCCAUGUGUAGCGGUGAAAUGCGUAGAGAUGUGGAGGAAUACCGGUGGCGAAGGCGGCCCCUGGACAAAGACUGACGCUCAUGUGCGAAAGCGUGGGGAGCAAACAGGGAUUAGAUACC
This 453-nucleotide ribosomal RNA is filed under the name uncultured bacterium. RNAcentral describes it as "bacterial SSU rRNA". It matches the Rfam family "Bacterial small subunit ribosomal RNA", at positions 340 to 786 of the family's 1533-position model. The record is from RNAcentral.